AACGGAAGCUCAAGUGGGGGAAAAUGAUAGGGGGCCAAAAGCGUUCGUAGCCGGUUUGAUAAGUCUCUGGUGAAAUCCCGCAGCUUAACUGUGGGACUUGCUGGAGAUACUAUUAGACUUGAGGUCGGGAGAGGUUAGGGGUACUCCCAGGGUAGGGGUGAAAUCCUAUAAUCCUGGGAGGACCACCUGUGGCGAAGGCGCCUAACUGGAACGAACCUGACGGUGAGUAACGAAAGCCAGGGGCGCGAACCG
RNAcentral lists this ribosomal RNA (252 nucleotides) under uncultured prokaryote. RNAcentral's name for it is "partial 16S rRNA". It matches the Rfam family "Archaeal small subunit ribosomal RNA", at positions 475 to 726 of the family's 1478-position model. The record is from RNAcentral.